GAUGAACGCUGGCGGCGUGCCUAAUACAUGCAAGUCGAGCGAACAGAUGAGGAGCUUGCUCCUCUGACGUUAGCGGCGGACGGGUGAGUAACACGUGGAUAACCUACCUAUAAGACUGGGAUAACUUCGGGAAACCGGAGCUAAUACCGGAUAAUAUAUUGAACCGCAUGGUUCAAUAGUGAAAGACGGUUUUGCUGUCACUUAUAGAUGGAUCCGCGCCGCAUUAGCUAGUUGGUAAGGUAACGGCUUACCAAGGCAACGAUGCGUAGCCGACCUGAGAGGGGGAUCGGCCACACUGGAACUGAGACACGGUCCAGACUCCUACGGGAGGCAGCAGUAGGGAAUCUUCCGCAAUGGGCGAAAGCCUGACGGAGCGACGCCGCGUGAGUGAUGAAGGUCUUCGGAUCGUAAAACUCUGUUAUUAGGGAAGAACAAAUGUGUAAGUAACUAUGCACGUCUUGACGGUACCUAAUCAGAAAGCCACGGCUAACUACGUG
This 497-nucleotide ribosomal RNA is filed under the name uncultured bacterium. Its description in RNAcentral is "partial 16S ribosomal RNA". It matches the Rfam family "Bacterial small subunit ribosomal RNA", at positions 28 to 507 of the family's 1533-position model. The record is from RNAcentral.